CUUCGCCCCUGUUUAGGAGCAAUUGUUUAUAUACUCCUGAAAAGUUUCUGACUUUCUGAUUUACCUCUCUUAGAAGACUAAUAUUGAAAAUACCAUUUUUACUCUCCAAUCUAUUUCAAACAUACCCCUAGAGUUAAAAUCUGCUAUUGAACUCUAUUAUCUCUACAAAAUUACUAUUUUGCCCUUUCAAAUAUACACUUCUACCAGCACCGACUUUUCUUAUUUGCCCUUAAGUUAGGGGCACAAAAGUAUUUUACUUUUUGGUCUUUUCAAAUAUACCCUUCUACCAUCACCAGUAUUUCUUAUUUGAUCUUAAGUUAAGGACAACAAAAGUGGUAUUUUAAUUUUUUUUAACUGUGAUAGAUAUUUAAUUCACAUUUAACUUAAGUUAAUUUAACGGGUGAUAACUGUAGGAAUAUUUUGGAAUAACGGAGGAACAUAUGAGGGGUAUAUUGAAAAGAAAAAAAAAUUAGGGAUGCAUGAGACAUUUCUAAAGUUUUGAGGAGUAUAUAGGCAAUUAUCCCUUUAUUUAUUUUAGUACAGGGAAAUUUGACUAAAAGAACUUAAUUAAAGCAAUUGAUAGAUACAAUUAAAAAUCCUGAUGUUUUCAAAUAUAUCCCUGUCGUUAGAAUUUAUUAGAAAAAAUUAGUUAAUCAUAGAUUAAAUACUUCACUUUGGUUAGUUAAUGAGGUGUGAAUUGACCUUUUUACCCCUUUUCAAUUAACAGUUGGAACUUUUGAAGGGAUAUAAUUGUGAUGGCAAAAAGGUCAUUUCACUUAUAAAAUAGGCAGUAUUUUAACGGUAAUAAACCAUAGAGACAUAUUUGAAAAUAUUAUGACUUUUGAAAGGUCAACAUAUAAAAGUUAAAUUUUGUAGGAAUAUAUUUGUAAUUCAUUAUAUUUGUAAAAAUCUGUAUAAAAUUAACCCUAAAAUAAAAAUACACUACAAAAUAAUGAAUGCUAAUUAAUAAUAAUCGAAAAGUAAAUUGCACUGCUAGUGCUCAAACUAUGCGACACAUGACACUUUGUUUCUCGAACUUUAAUUUGUUAUAUUUUUUGCUCAAAUAUUUUAGAUUAUCACAAUGAAGUUUCACAAUGUAAGUUAAUCGAUUAAUAGAAUUGCGUUGUUGAUGUGUCGUGAUAUAGGAGUAUUAUUAUUAUUAAUAACGUGAGAAUAAUUAAAAAUAAUGUAUUAAGUAUCACAUCAGCAGCACAUUAUUAUUCAAUUAAUAAAAUUGUACCGUAUGACUAGUUUACAAUAGUAUAAAAAAAAAUAAGAAAAACUUCAAAUAUCCCCCCUGUGGUUUCGUACUUUCUCACAUUAGUACCCUGUGGUUUAAAAGGUAUCAAGUUGGUACCCUGUGGUUUCGCACUUUCUCACUUUAGUACCCUAUGGUUUCAAGUGUAUCAAGUUAGUAUCCUAUAGUUUCAUUUUUGUAUCAAGUUAGUACUCUGUGGUUUUAAUUUUUUUUUUAUUAUCUAUUUCGGGGUAUAUAAUUUAACGAAAUAUUAAGCCACAUGGUACUAAAGUGAGAAAGUGCGAAACCACAGGGUACUAACUUGAUACACUUGAAACCAUAGGGUACUAAAGUGAGAAAGUGCGAAACCACAUGUACUAAUUUGAUACAUUUUAAACCACAUGGUACUAAAAUGAAAAAGUGCGAAACCACAUAGGGGUAUUUGAAGUUUUCCCAGAAAAUUAAGUUAAGAAUUAUAAAAAAAUUAAAAUUUGUACCGAAGUGCCAGACGCUUCAUAGUUUGAGGACUAAAGUGCAAUUUUGCUUAACAAAGUAAUAAUUAGGGAUGUCAAUGAGAACAGAUAUCCGAAAUUUUAUCCGAAUCCGAACUCUAAUGAAGCAGAUUUAUCCGAUGCUAAAUGGGUAUGGUUUCGGACAUGGAUAUUAAAAAUAAAAAUCUGACGAAUAUGGAUACAGAUAUGAAUUUUGACUGUAUCCGAUUCGAACCCGAACACGAUCCGAACCCGAAUUUUCUUUACAUUAUAUAUAAUAUGUAUAUAAAAAUU
RNAcentral lists this long non-coding RNA (2022 nucleotides) under Ananas comosus (pineapple). Its description in RNAcentral is "long non-coding RNA (ACOM_LNC023707)". The record is from RNAcentral. Lineage: Eukaryota; Viridiplantae; Streptophyta; Magnoliopsida; Poales; Bromeliaceae.